AGCUACUCCCUGGUUUCUAGGGUUUGCCGUUCUCUCAAAUCUCCUCUCAGAUCUCAUCUCCGAGCUACUAAUCUCGGCGUCAUGCUACUCUCGUUGCCAUUCCAGUCUUGUUCGUCGUCGUCAAGCUACUAAUCUCGUCGUCAAGGUGCUGCGGAUAACAUCGAUUGCUGCAUUAAUCACGAUCCAUUGCUCUAGGUCGAUCCCUGAGGUAAGAUUUCUUAACCUAAAAGCUAUUUCUUCUCAAAAAAAAUUGGAUUUAUUUGUUUUCUAUUGGGUAAUGACAGAAUGUUGGUUGUGAUUAGCUACUAGGUUAGGCAAGUGGGUUAAUUAAAUUGAGGGGAUUUGCUUAUAUCUUGAUUUAAGUAACUGUUGGAUCACUGUU
This is a long non-coding RNA of Asparagus officinalis (garden asparagus), 382 nucleotides long. RefSeq lists it as uncharacterized. The record is from RefSeq and is a predicted model, not a curated record. The transcript is spliced from 3 exons. Lineage: Eukaryota; Viridiplantae; Streptophyta; Magnoliopsida; Asparagales; Asparagaceae.